Molecule: transfer RNA, 69 nt
Filed under: Marmota marmota marmota (Alpine marmot)
Lineage: Eukaryota; Metazoa; Chordata; Mammalia; Rodentia; Sciuridae
Also listed under: 3 other names
Rfam family: tRNA
About the family: Transfer RNA (tRNA) molecules are approximately 80 nucleotides in length. Their secondary structure includes four short double-helical elements and three loops (D, anti-codon, and T loops).
Source: Rfam by way of RNAcentral
GGAGUUGUGGCUCAGUGGCAGAGCACUUGCCUAGCAUGCAUGAGGCACUGAGUUCGAUCCCCAGCACCA